This is a non-coding RNA of Cinara cedri, 657 nucleotides long. The record is from the annotation of a GenBank genome assembly. Lineage: Eukaryota; Metazoa; Arthropoda; Insecta; Hemiptera; Aphididae.
GACGUGCCUUUUUAUCGGGCGUACUGUAUUCUCGUUGUCCGUUAUUGAGACGCAGGUAUUGACAUUCAAACGCAAACAACAAUACCGGCCGGCAAACAAGUUGGGUUACCUAUAUAAUGGGUCGCUCGGAUCUAACGAGAGUGUAUAUUAUUAUUAUUAUUGUUAUUUCUAUCUCGUAAAAUAGAAAACCUCCGACGAGAGCGAACAAAUAAAUAAAACAAUUUUUCGACUUCUUCCGUCGUAAAUUGUAAUUCGAAAUGUUGCUGUGAGUCAUUUCAGUUUUUAAAUCGUCCGUCCGGCCGUCGUUGUUUUUAAAUUCUGAGCGCGGAUGUAUUGAUUUUACACGAUGUGCAUUUUAUUUUUUUUCUGCCGGUUAACAAAUUUCCUACGAGAAAUAUUACUCCGAUUUUCAUGUUUACCGUCUUUUCUGAUGGCGAAUUUCGUCAAGUUGAUUUCACUUGUGUUUCUGAUAAUAAUAGUGAGAAAAACCGCGGAAAAAUUACGGAAAAACUUUCGGAAAUAACGGUUUCAUUGAUUUCAAUUUUGUUUUUCGUCAUAAUUCGGCUUUAACAAUAAUCGUAGACGUCUGCAAUUUUCACAGAAUACUUACAUUAGCUUCUUUAUAUUAGCUAUACUUAUGUAUAACUAUAUAUAAGG